GACGAACGCUGGCGGCGUGCUUAACACAUGCAAGUCGAACGGAAAGGCCCUGCUUUCAGGGUGCUCGCGUGGCGAACGGGGGUGUAACACGUGGGUGUUCUGCCCCUUACUUUUUGAUAAACCUUGGAAACAGUGUCUAAUAUUGGAGAUGACCGUUCUGGCGGUGUGGUGGUGGAAAGAUUGGUUUCGGUAAGGGAUGAGCUCUCGGCCUAUCAGCUUGUUGGUGGGGUGAUGGCCGACCAAGGCGUCGUCGGGUGGCCGGCCUGCGAGGGUGGACGGCCACACUGGGAGUGAGUGACAGCCGACACUCCUACGGGAGGCAGCAAGGGGGAAGAUUGAACGAUCAGCGCACGCCUGAUGCAGCGACGCAGCGUGGGGGCUGACGGCCGGCGGGUUGGAAGUUCCUCUCUGCCAUGUGGAAGCACUCGUGGUGACGGUAAUGGUAGAAGAAGCCCCGGCUAACUACCUG
This 469-nucleotide ribosomal RNA is filed under the name uncultured bacterium. RNAcentral describes it as "partial 16S ribosomal RNA". It matches the Rfam family "Bacterial small subunit ribosomal RNA", at positions 28 to 507 of the family's 1533-position model. The record is from RNAcentral.